This is a non-coding RNA of Pelobates cultripes (western spadefoot toad), 326 nucleotides long. The record is from the annotation of a GenBank genome assembly. Lineage: Eukaryota; Metazoa; Chordata; Amphibia; Anura; Pelobatidae.
UUAUUGGGGUAGCCCCCAAAAUAUUGGGACAUAUAAAAAAAAGACAACUCUGUUCCGCAGAGUAGCUGUUGACAUUAUAGUUGUGCAGGCACUUUGUUGACUCUAGAGAACCUCAGUCCAAUCUCACAACCCUGUGGUGGCGACUUUGCAUGCGGAUGUCAUCCAUAUCAACUUUCGAUGCCAGUUUCUGCGCCUACCAUGGUGACCACGGGUAACGGGGAAUCAGGGUUCCAUUCCGUACAGUGACCCGGAGAAAUGGCUACCAAAUGCAAGGAAGGCAGCAGGCGCGCAAAUGACCCACUCCCGACGCGGGAAGGUAGUGACGA